This is a long non-coding RNA of Physeter macrocephalus (sperm whale), 10207 nucleotides long. RefSeq lists it as uncharacterized. NCBI's taxonomy places the organism in Eukaryota, Metazoa, Chordata, Mammalia, Artiodactyla, Physeteridae. The transcript has 5 exons. The record is from RefSeq and is a predicted model, not a curated record.
UAAGAGUUUCUGUGGGUUUCUAUAUACUUACUUCGACAAUCCUCAGAACAUAUUAAAGACGACCAUAUUUGUUUUUUCAGACCUUGUGGUGAGUGGUUUUGAAAAUGCUCAAUGAAGGUGGAUUUCACUUUGAGGAUUAGUUACAAGUCAGCUGGAUCUAUGUCUGAUAAACAGAGUUGGUAGUCAAGUUCGGUAACGCUGGCUUUCAUCAAUGACAAGGCAUUCGGUUCGGCACAGGAGAGUGAGACUCUGUCCCUGCCCUUAGGAAGCUGCGGUCCAGUUUGAUAGGAAGACACACAAAAGACAAUUUCGUCAGCAAUGAAAAAGAGGUACACCUGCCAGUGGUGCCCGGAGGAGUUGCUCAGCCUCCCUCGUGUCAGCCAGGACGUAAAAGGGAGAAAAAGGGAGACCACCUGGCCUGCAUGCUCAGAAGCAUCAGAAUAUUUGGAAAUGGGCAGACGCUGCCCUUCAAGUUUUGGUGUCUCGGCUCUCCCUGGCCCCAUUCCUCUGCCGUGGGGCAGCCUCGGGACCAAAUGCUGUUGGAGGAAAACCAGAGAAUCCAGUGUGGGUACCGCCAAGCUCCAGCACCGUCUCCUCUGAAGCCCCUUGUCCCCAGUUUGUUUUUCCGGAUGACUCCGUGGACAUGCAUCUCUAGGGAUGCUGCAGUUGGCUGUCACUACAGGCAUCCUGCCUUUCUCCUACCAGGAAAGUCGUGAGUAAACAGAAGUUCUGUAAAUCGAGUCAAUGUUCCUAGCAACCUCCAUGACCAUUUCAGAGAUGCUUCAUCUUCAUUUCUGGCCGGUCUUUCGCUGGCAGCACUUCUUACCUAAUCUGUCCCAUAGCGUUUCUGUAAAGGAAUGUAAUGAGCGGUAAACUCUUCAAUGCACCAGGGGAGCACACCGCUUACAGAAAUCCUUCUUUUAAAUAACAGUCUAUUUUUUUUUUUUCUGUUCCUUCCUAUUGCCCUAGCAGAAAUUUGGGUUCACCUAGAAGCAGACCUUGAGAUAAGGGUUUAAGUGCAAAUGGUUUAUUAGGGAGUUCAUGCCAGGAAACACCAGUAGGAGAGGGAAUUGAUAGUGGGAAGGGAAGGAAGGUCGACACAAGGUAUGUCAUGGAGCAGGUUACUACUUAGGCAAGGGACGCUCAGUCCUGCGGGGGAUCUCUAGGAAACAGUGGAAAGACACACCUCAGAUUUGUGCCACCUGAGGGCGAAGAACCUGGGGUGUUUAUAUACUGGCUCCCUCAGUCACUGUUAGAGGGCUGCUUCUGGGGAGCGGGUGGGUAAUAAUAUCCUAGUGCUCUACCUUCUACAUGGGGAGGGGCUAUCGAAAUCCAAGAAAGCUCUUGGAUGGUAAAUGCUGGCAGUUGGAAGCCAAGCCAAAUGUAAGUGGCUGAAAUGUUAAUGGCUGUGGGCAGGACACCAGCACAUCUGCUACACUUAGCUUCUCAGAAUACGUGUGAGGAGGUAGCUUCUCCAUUGCCCCUGAGUGUCACUGCAACAGCUCUUCUUUAUUGGUAAGUGUCUUCUAGAUGCAUUUUCUGCAAAUCAAAAAAGGUUUUGAGAGACUUAUUAUUAGGAAAGUGAAGUAUUUCCUUCAAAAUAUUUUCUUUAUACAGAGAUACUAGGAAAUGGAACCCGUGGUCACAACCAAUAGAUUAAUAUCAAGCCUUUUCAAAAUGCUCCCAUCCAUCAUUUUCAGUGGGUGGAGGAUAUAGAAGCAAAUAUAUACAGCCUUUAUUCUCAAGAUUGUUUUUAUUCCACCAUCAGUGGAUUUCCAUGAUUAGCAAAGGCUAAUCUUAGAUGCUUUUUGAAAGUGCCUGUAUAUCCCUUGGUUACCUCAUGGACCAUGGUGUGGCAGGCAGACCACCUGUAACUUGCCCAAGAGGGCAGGGGUCAGACAGAGGUAUGGGAUGCUGUCCUUUAUUCAUAGGUACCAGCUCCAAACACUGAAAACUGAAAAGAGUGAUUAAAUCCAGGCAUCCUAACUCCCAUAUCUGGGAGGCCCUGGACCCUCGUGUUCCUGGUGACCCCUGCUACUGUCUUUAUUCCUAAUGGCACUCUGGCAGCUGAACCAAUCAUGCCCUGGUUGGUUUCCUACUGUUUUGAUGAGUCCAAGUUCCUAACAUAGCAUCAGAUGGGGAUCUUGGUGCUGAGGAGAAUUAAGCUCAUGGAGUCUCUAUUGCACACAGCUGCCACAAAAGAGUGGAGCUGAACUUCCCUUGAGAGGCAUAUUGAUGGACUAUCAUCUUGGUAAAAUGGAAUCCAGCUCAGUUUUGUAUCAGAUCUAAGUGGCAAUCUGUAUCUGUAUCAGAUCCAUGGACUUUUUCUACUCUGACUCCUAAUUCUAGGCCUUGAUAUGUAAUUUGUGAGGUUUCAGAGCUAGAAAAAACUUUAAAGAUCAUCCAGCCAACCUGUCUAUUUUGCUGAUAAGGAUCCUACAUUCCAGAAUGGUUAAGUCACUGACCCAGAGUCAAACAGGGAGUCGAGAGCUGGGCUGAGGGGAGAGAGAGCCAGUCUUUUCUCACUUCCCACGAAGUUAGUUAAUAAAGCAGCAGAAUUUCUCACUGGAUUCAGAAGUAAAUGUUUGGUGCCACAGAGUUUUUUGAAUACCUGCUCAAGAUAGUGCAAGGCUCUGUGGGGAUCUGAAGAACGAGACCCUGUGCCCGCAUGGCUCUUACACUGUCUGCUUGAGCUCUUUGCUCCUUGCUUCCCAGCUCUCCUCCCCUGUUGCCACUCCCAAUUCAUCCUCCAUCCUAUUUUCACUUCUUUUCUUUGUUUUUGGUGCCAAAACCUAGGAACUAUUUUCUCUCUUUUCUUACAGCUUAUGUCCUUCAUUCCAACUCCCUGAUUCCCUUCCUCCACCAUUUCUCUGUUCCCACUCUACCAGGUUCUCUUUCUCUUCUCUGCUACUAUAUUUCUUUUCCUCAUAUUUAUCUAUCACCUCCCUUAAGCUGCCCCUUCCUAGGCCCCCUUGCUCUCCCCUCUGCCACCUUGGAUCCUGGAAGCAUACUUGGUUAUUGUGGUCAGCAGCCUCUGCAAUGGCCGAUGGUCCCCACCUACUGGUCUCCAUGCCCUCGUGGACUCCCUUCCCUUUUGGUACAGGAUGGACCUUGUAAGUAAAUUCUAAUGAAUAAAAUUGACCAAAACGAUGGGACAUCACUUCUAAGCUUAGGUUAAAAAAGGCUGUGGCUUCCACCUUGGGUGCUCUUUGACUAUAAGGAAGCUGGCUGCCAUGUUGUAAACUGACCUACCGAGAGGCCCAUGUAACAAGGAACUGAAGUCUCCAGCCAACAGCCAGCAAGUACCUGAGGUCUGCUAACCACCACGUGAGUAAUCCUCUCCCCGUGGAGCCUGGAAACUGCAGCCCCUCUGAUAUCUUGACUGUAGCCAGUGAGAGACCCCAAGUCUGAGGCACCCAGCUAAGAUGCUCCUGGAUUCCUGAACCACAGAACCUGUAAGAUAACUUUUUUUUCAAUUGAAGUAGUUGAUUUACAAUAUUGUGUUAGUUUCAGGGGUACAGCAAAGUGAUUCAGUUAUACAUAUAUAUUUUUUUUCAGAUUCUUCUCCCUUACAGGUUAGUACAAAAUAUUGCGUGUAGUUCCCUGUGCUAUAGAGUAGGUCCUUAUUGGUUAUUUUAUAUAUAGUAGUGAAAUGUUUGUGUUGUUUUCAGCUGCUAAGUUUGGGGGGUAAUUUGUUAUGCAGCAAUAUUAAAAAUGCAGAGUUGUCCUUUACAGACCCCCACUCAGAAAUGUUUGUCUUCUAUGACUCUGAGCAAAUCGCUGCUGCUGUUUGGGCUUCAGUCUCCUCAUCUGGGAGGCUUUGGGCUUAGAGUCUAGUGUCUCAAGUCUCCUGUCUGUGAAGAUAUAGCCUGUGAGGUUACAACAAGGCCCAUCUCUUCUACUGUUUAGCGUAUGAAGCCCGGUUAAACCCGCACAUCUUUGUAUGUUAAGCUCCACGUCUUUAAAUUUGCCUCACGUUUUUCACUCCUAUUAUCUGAAGUCUGUUUCUAAUUUCUGAUAGAAUUGCAGUGGCCCAUUGUGUGCCUUGCUCUGCAUGACAUGCCAAUUUCAUUUUGGAGUCACAGCUAUUGUCUUUUUCUCCACUAAUCUCAUUUUGCAGAAUUCCAAUAGAACCUGUGAACAGAGAGAGUUGCCCUUGUGCUUGAUCUGGGCGCUGUGUGGCCCCCAAACAGGGGUGGAUGAUAGACAGACAGCCUGUCUGCCACCCGAGGCAUCUUUUCUUGCUUAAAAAUUUGUUCUCCAGAUCGCAGACUCCCUUCCAACGCUAGCAAAGACUGGAACAUAUUAAAUAAGAGCAGAGCUGAAAUUGGAUGGAAUGUCUCAGCCACUUAGAUUCAGACCUCUCUUUCGGGGGAGCACGUGGGGAAGAGGCCGGGACGUGCCCACGUGGACAAUGUGGAGGAAGACAGCUUCCAUCCCUUUCUUAUACCAUUCAAGCCUUAAACAGGGGUAACAUUUUUUCUUAAGCAGGGCCUAUAACCCAGGAUCCAUCACUUAUAUAUGGUGUCCAUAGCAACCAGGCAAUGGUAUGGGAUCCCUUCUAACUGGGGAAUUCCUUUUAUGGCUCAUUUCCGAAACCAGCAUGGCCAGUACAGGAGUCUGCAGUUUCCCAGUUGCUUAGCAACCAGCUCCUAUGCUCUAGUCACUAGGAAAAGCAGACAGUUAAAAAAAAAAAAAAAGUGUAGUCAGAAUCAUAUGUUACAUUCUUUCUACUUUGUCUCUUUAGAAUAAAAUAGCGUGCAAUAAGGAUGCAGGAAAGGGCAACCGCUCCCUGUUGUUAAUGCCUUCACUGCUCCUAGCCGGCUUGCAGGCAGAGAGGGAGGAAAAUGUUAGCAUGCUUUCGGCUGGAAACUAAGCAGCGCGAGCCAUCUGCACGUUGAAAGCUUUACAUUUUUCACAUCUUGUGGGGGCAUCAAGUAAGUGCAGGGCCAGCAAUCUGUGUGCUGCAUUCCCUCCCCCAAACCAGAAAAGCCAGGCUCCACCCAGAGGUGUCACUGGACCACUUCUCCUUGGCUGACAUUCCUGGGAGGAGUGAAUUGGUUUGCUGGGUUUCUGGUAGAAAGGCAAGGAGACCAUGUAGCCCCCUUGAGUUAUAGCUGUGGUUUUCAACCAGGGAUGAUUUUGCCCCCCCAGGUGACAUUUGGCAAGGUCUGCAGACAUUUGGGGUUGUCAUAGUGGUGGGGGAGGGGGAUGUUAUUGAUAACCAGGGGGCAGAGACCAGGGAUGUUGUUAACCAUCCUAUGAUGUUUAGGCAAAGGACAGCCCCCAACACCAAAGAAGUAUCCUGCCCACAGUGCCAGUAUGCCGAGGCUGAGAAACCCUGCGUUAGAGAAUCAGAAGAACCAUCUGUCUUGUUAAAAACAAGCACUGUAGCCGACUAGGAAAAACGUUGACAAGUAAGAUUGGCAUGUGUAAGUCUAACCCAGGAUCUUCUCCACUGAUGCUGUGAGGCUAAGGCUGUGUGUUAGGAAGACACAAUUGGCCUCUCUGUUUCAUCUACAACAAUCAGAUUUCACUCAGUCAUUCCAGCGGCCACAACAUUAUACUGUAGCACAUCCCCUGUCACCCUGGCCACAAACAGAAGCCUGUCCAGUCUGGAUCACUUCAAAUGCCUUGUCACCGCCAUUAUUUCUUUCUUACAAGGCAUCAACCGGAGCUAUACAUUCCCAAAGGUAAUGUUUUCUGGGUGUUUUUGUUCCUCAUUCUUCCUAAUAAUUUUGCAAAACUGCUAGGACUUUGGGGGCCAGAGUCUUUGCUGCACACUCUUGCAAUGAACCCCAAGUCCUUUUUCUGGGUCACAACAGCUGGUUUGUAGUGGGCAGCAUCUCACCUUCUAUAGUUUGUACUUUUCCUCCCUGUCAUGCCCUUAUUCUCAGCAAAGUUUAUCUGCCAAGGUUUUGCCCACUCACCCAGCCUCAUUUAUCUCACCCCCGUUGGCUUCUUGUUCAACACCCAGAAGAGCCGGAUGAGCUCUAAACACUUAGAGAUUUCACUGCCCCUUCUAGAUUGUUGGGUGAUCCCACCUAGUUUUGCCCAAUUGACUCAAGCCUCUCCGGAUUGCAGCUCUAAUGUGUCACUGCUAGAAUUUUGCUCUUCCACAGGGAAUAAUUAAAUGAUAAAUUUAGAGGUUGCUUGCUCAUCCCUCCCAAGCAGAAUGAUGGAAUCUCACCUGGAAGCUGUGACAGCCAGGAAAGGCAGAAGAAGGAUGUUUAUCAGACACACAUGAACUCAGCUCCCCAGAAUGUAGCACACAGGUACCUCAUUUCUGAACAAGUAGCAGAAGCCAGAUCCACAGUCACCCCAGGGCUGUGACCUGCUGGAGAAGGGAUAUCUCGAGGUUUACCAGGAGGACCGAAAGCACUCAAAGUAUGUGGACGUCAGAGCAGUGGCUAAGAAAGAGUCCAGGCGGGCUGGGACAUCAGGCAGCUGAGGGCAAGGCAGGCAGCACGUCUGGGAUCCAGGAUGACAGAUAGGAGAUUUAAAACAGGGCACCAUCAGAGCCCUGAAACAAGGCAAGGUUUUAUCAGGAAGGGGAUCUGAGCCUCAGGAGUGAGAGUAGUACAACCGAGCCUGGCUGAAGACAGAUCCUUAUAACAAUAAAGCAGAAGGGAUAACAGAGAGGGAGGGAGGGGGUUGAUGCCUCCUUUGGGGCAAAUAAUUUUCUCUGUAUCCCUGUAACACUAGUACAGGUUCCUAGAAGAUCAGUCAGUUGGUCAAUUAGCAGGUAAUGUUGAAUAUGUACUCUGUGGGUAUCUUUCCUUGCAUAAAGCUCCCGUAGAACACUAACCUCAUGAGGUGCUCCAAGAAAAACAUUCUAUGCUCACUGAUUUUUGCAAACUGCAAGUCCCUCUUGGAAAUUCACAGUGUACAUUAGCAUUUUAGAAGCUCAAACUCCUGUGAUAUAGAAACCUGUUUUUAAUCCAGUGUUUCUCCAACAGUUGACAACAGGAUCCUUUUGUUACGUGAAAACUAUGAACAUCCUGCGGACACACCUUGAGAGAUAUUGUUCUAAAGCAUUCCUAAUCUGGUGUUCCCAGGCCCUUCGCAACCUGGGCCUGCCCUUGUUUCCCGACUUUACCUUCCUUUAUUUUCCUACAUUCCAGGCACACUGAAUUCUUCCCUUGUACAUGCCCCUAUUUCACAUUUCCUUCUUUUCUCUACAGCAGGUGAUUCAUCAUCUGCCCAAAAAAGGGAAAAAACGCUAAGCCUUACUCACUUCAGCCCCCACCCAUUUCUAGCUAUCCUGUAAGGCUCACCUCAAAGGGGACACUUGAUCCAUCUCUGCCCCAGCCUCCCUGUUACUAUAAACAAUCCAUUUUCUCCUCUGAUCCCUUGUGUCACACUAUCUAUUGCUUUUAGAGCGCUUAGUACCUUUUAAUUUGUGUAUGGCCAUUUAUGCCUUUCUUAUUAGGAGACAAUCCAUGUCUGGUUCAUUUUUAUAUUCCUAGCCCAGAACACAGCUUACUCGUAGGAUUGUCCGAGGGAGCAGGAAGUAAGAAGCUAUGACCUCCAAGGCGGAAGUAUGUUUCCCAACACUCAGGCCAGAGAUGGCAGAUCUCUGGCUCACAGGCUGUGAACUCACACUCACCUGUGGUGAACAGACUCAUCUAUCGCCACGCGAUGCCCCUGGGGCCCAGAUGCCACGCCCCCUCCAAAGCUUCUCAGCACAGUGCUCGAAGUAGUCAUAAUCAACGGGUUAGAGUUGGCAUGACAGAGGAAAUCUAGUUGUCAUCCUUGAUUUGGACUUUUCCACGAAGUGAAAGUUAGGAGAAUUUAGCAAGCUGAAUAUUGGAACUGUUAAUACUUCAGAUCAAGGACUGUCCAUAACAGAAAAGAGCAAUUAGCAAAACUAUUCAUUAUACUUUCAUGUUCAAGUCUAGUCUCAAGGCUAAUUAUUUGUAUAAUUAACAUGUUACCAAAUGCAAAUAAUUGAUGAGCCUGAUCUCUUGGAAUGGAACACAAGUCUUGUGAAAUGUAAAUAGCUGUGAAUUACUAACAGCUUUCCUUUACAUGGCCUGUCUAAAUAGGGCAGCGCCUGUAAAAUUAAACAAUUUAAGUGUAAUCCCAUGUAUGCUAAAAGACAGACAAAACAAUAAGAUGUGUGGUUAAAUGCACAGGUUUUUAAAUUCUCACUCUACUACUUUCUAGCUGUGUGACCUUGGGCAAGUUAAUCUCAGUUUACUCAUUAUUUAUAAAUCUAUGAAUUUAUAAUUUAUUAAAUUAUAAUUUACAAAUUAUAAAUUGUUAUUUAUAAAUCUCAGUUUCCGCAUUUAUAAAAUGGGUGUAACAGCAGCCCCUAGUUCACAGGAUUGUUGAGAACUAAAUGAGGGUUGACUCAUUUGGAAAGAGUACACAAUAAAUGUGAGCCAUUGUUUUCAUUAUUACAUUUUGUACUGCUUAGAUUUUAUUCAGAAAGAAACAUUAGAGGGGAAGGGAACGUAUACAGAUGUCCCUGCUAUAACACCACCUAUGUGUUCCUGAAAAGCUCCAUGGUCUACAAAAUAGCCCACUGAAAAAAACUGGGCUGCUGGGAAAAAAAAUUGGGUUGGGCAGACCACUCAAAAAACCUAUGCAAUUUUGUAACCCAACCAGUAACAAAAAAAAAACCAAUGUCAACAUUAGCAAAAUAUUAGCCCCCACUAAACCUUAGCUUGAAUAUUUGCAGGCUGCAUUCUGCCCUUGAGCCCUGGGGCUUCUUUUGAGCUAUAAGUCCUGGAGUACAUUCAUUUCUAAUAGGGAUCAGUUUCAUCAAAAUUAAACGUGAUUUAAGGAGUAGUGUUCUUCACUAAUCUCUCCUAGUUUAAAGGGAAAUGUCUUCACAGACUCAUCAUCAGUACCCUCAGCUUCUCUAGAAAGCACAACAUGAGGAUAAUAGUGAUUCUUAAAGUCACUGAAUCAGUUGCUUUCUGCAGCUAAAAAAAGGCAGCUAGCUUUUCCUUAAGGCCUUCAUAGAGUGCUAAGGUUUUCUCUUAUUAAAGAGGUAGUUUACUGGGACUUCCCUGGUGGCGCAGUGGUUAAGAAUCUGCCUGCCAAUUAAGAAUCUGCCUGACAAUGGAGGGGACAUGGGUUCGAGCCCUGGUCCAGGAAGAUCCCACAUGCUGUGGAGCAACUAAGCCCAUGCACUGCAACUACUGAGCCUGCGCUCUACAGCCCGCAAGCCACAAGUACUGAGCCCAUGUGCCACAACCACUGAGGCCUGCGUGCCUAGAGCCCAUGCUCUGCAACAACAGAAGCCACCUCAAUGAGAAACCUGUGCACUGCAACGAAGAGUAGCCCCUGCUCGCCACAACUAGAGAAAGCCCGCAUGCAGCAACGAAGACCCAACAUAGCCAAAAAUUAAAAAAAAAAAAAAAAAGAUGUAGUUACUAUGAGAAAGCUUGCCUCUGGUUGCUUCAAAAUAUUAACAUGCUAGAAAAAAAAUUGCAUAGGAACCAAAAUGACUUCCAUAUUACACCAAUUCCCCAUUUACCUAUGGCAUGUAAGGUCAUUCACAUUUAAGAAGCACAUGCUGUAGCAAUACAGUUUGCAUUGACUAUAUCCUACCAGUUGCUGUGGUAGGAGCUAAAUAUAACCAUAUGAUUGAAUCUGCACAUUAAUGUGGUGGGUAUCCUUAUCUCUGAUAAGGCUCAGGGACAUUAACUUGCCUGAGAUCACAAGUUUUUAAGAAGCAAAGCCAGGACUCCUAGCUGGAAUUGAACCGACUCCAAAACUCAUGCUCUUUGAGACAUGACCCCCCUUAAGAGUGGAUGGAGGCAGGAAAGCAGACAGACAUUCCUGGCUGUGGUGAUGAGUGAAAGCCUGAUUCCUAACCCUAAGUCCCUAACGUUUAGUCUCGUUUAAUCCUCACAACACCUCUGCUACUUAGGUAUUCUUACCACCACUUUUAGGCCUACCCAGUUCCUAAAACUGAGGUGUUUCUCCCUAUGUCCUAUAUAUGUCUUUAAGGACACAGUUCCUAAAUAUCUUAGUGUGUCUGUUUACUAGUUUUUUAAAAAGCCGUGUUAUACAUCCCCAUUCUCUCAGGCAGUGAAUUUCACUGUGCACCCAUGUGCACACAUAUACAACUGGAAAUCCUCACAGGUGCAGUUUAUCAAGCAUGUUUCAUAGCACAGACAUAAAAUACUAGCCUCUUCUUUCAGUGUUUUAGAAUUUUUUCUUUGUGCUAUUUAAAUUUGCCUUUUAAACA